RNAcentral lists this transfer RNA (87 nucleotides) under Acidobacteriota bacterium. Its description in RNAcentral is "Acidobacteria bacterium (groundwater metagenome) tRNA-Leu". It matches the Rfam family "tRNA". Rfam says of the family: Transfer RNA (tRNA) molecules are approximately 80 nucleotides in length. RNAcentral also lists the same sequence under 4 other names. Lineage: Bacteria; Pseudomonadati; Acidobacteriota. The record is from RNAcentral.
GCGAAAGUGGCGGAACUGGCAGACGCGCCAGACUUAGGAUCUGGUACCCGAAAGGGUAUGGGGGUUCGAGUCCCUCCUUUCGCACCA